GUUGUGGCUCAGUGGUAGAGUGCUCGCCUAGCAUGCACGAGGUAUUGGGUUCGAUUCUCAGCAACA
RNAcentral lists this transfer RNA (66 nucleotides) under Marmota monax (woodchuck). RNAcentral's name for it is "tRNA.Ala". Lineage: Eukaryota; Metazoa; Chordata; Mammalia; Rodentia; Sciuridae. The record is from RNAcentral.